AGUGAACGCUGGCGGUAGGCCUAACACAUGCAAGUCGAACGGCAGCACAGUAAGAGCUUGCUCUUACGGGUGGCGAGUGGCGGACGGGUGAGGAAUACAUCGGAAUCUACUUUUUCGUGGGGGAUAACGUAGGGAAACUUACGCUAAUACCGCAUACGACCUACGUGUGAAAGCAGGGGAUCUUCGGACCUUGCGCGAUUGAAUGAGCCGAUGUCGGAUUAGCUAGUUGGCGGGGUAAAGGCCCACCAAGGCGACGAUCCGUAGCUGGUCUGAGAGGAUGACCAGCCACACGGGAACUGGGAAACGGUCCAGACUCCUACGGGAGGCAGCAGUGGGGAAUAUUGGACAAUGGGCGCAAGCCUGAUCCAGCCAUACCGCGUGGGUGAAGAAGGCCUUCGGGUUGUAAAGCCCUUUUGUUGGGAAAGAAAAGCAGCAGGUUAAUACCCCGCUGUUCUGACGGUACCCAAAGAAUAAGCACCGGCUAACUUCGUG
RNAcentral lists this ribosomal RNA (492 nucleotides) under uncultured bacterium. RNAcentral describes it as "partial 16S ribosomal RNA". It matches the Rfam family "Bacterial small subunit ribosomal RNA", at positions 29 to 507 of the family's 1533-position model. The record is from RNAcentral.